RNAcentral lists this long non-coding RNA (895 nucleotides) under Neogobius melanostomus (round goby). RNAcentral describes it as "lncRNA (ENSNMLG00000015293.1)". Lineage: Eukaryota; Metazoa; Chordata; Actinopteri; Gobiiformes; Gobiidae. The record is from RNAcentral.
GGAAGACAUGGAAAAUAUUUGGAACAUUUAGGAGAAAAAUGGAAAGUUUGGUGAAAAAAUGUGUUAAAAUGGAGGAAAAAAUAUGACAAACCUGUAAAGUGUUUUUUCUGCCCUUUUGUUUGUUUGUUUGUUUCUUCUCAAACAAAUGAUACAAAUGUAAAAGAAAUGAAAUGGAAGGAAAAGGAAUAAAUUAACAUCAUAAACCUGUUUUAUUAUUCUAUGAGACAGAUAUUUUUGUAUCGGUAUCGAAACCAAGUUUCGUUAAAUAACCGGUAUUUUUAAAAAAUGAAACGAUCCCCAUCCCUAAGCCGCAGUGACAUCACAUUCAUACGCAGCAGCUGAUUGGUUGUGUUUGUGUCACAGGGCACGGCCGGAGCAGCGGGAGAUGUCGGACCCCCGGGGAUGCCUGGAGCCUCUGGACCUCAGGUAACGCUCAGCACCAGAGGCUUCAGACUGUGUCGUCUGUAGGUCACACUCUGUCUGUCUGUGUAACUGUGUCUGUAUGUAUGUGUGCAGGGGCCCCGAGGUGUACGGGGCCAGCCGGCCCCCAAGGACCCGUCGGUUUACCUGGAGCUCAGGGAGGUCCAGGAGAAGGCGGAGCUCCAGGGCUGAGCGGGAGACGAGGCGCCAACGGACAGAAGGGCCAGCCCGGAGAUCCAGGAGUGCCGGGCGUCCCCGGACCCCAGGGCCCCGAGGGCCCCGGUGAGUCCCCCCUGAGGGUCAGAGUCUUUACUUUAAACAUGGCUAUGAUCGCCCUCUGAGUCUGUGUCUGUUACAGGGUCAGGACGGACGAGACGGGUACGGACCCCCGGGACCCAGCGGCAGCAAGGUACAAGGCCUCUGUCCUCAGACUGUCCUGCAGUAGAUACUGGAGCCUCUGUCCUCAGACUGGUCC